RNAcentral lists this ribosomal RNA (495 nucleotides) under uncultured bacterium. Its description in RNAcentral is "partial 16S ribosomal RNA". It matches the Rfam family "Bacterial small subunit ribosomal RNA", at positions 28 to 507 of the family's 1533-position model. The record is from RNAcentral.
GACGAACGCUGGCGGUGUGCCUAAUACAUGCAAGUAGAACGCUGAAGGAGGAGCUUGCUUCUCUUGAUGAUUUGCGAACGCGUGAGUAACGCGUAUGUAACCUGCCUUGUAUCGGGGGAUAACUAUUGGAAACGAUAGCUAAUACCGCAUAAUAGCAGUUAUUGCAUGAUAACUGUUUGAAAGUUGCAAUUUCACCACUACCAGAUGGCCCUGCGUUGUAUUAGCUAGGUGGUGGGGUAACGGCUCACCAAGGCGACGAUACAUAGCCGACCUGAGAGGGUGGUCCGCCACACUGGGACUGAGACACGGCCCAGACUCCUACGGGAGGCAGCAGUAGGGGAUCAUCGGCAAUGGACGGAAGUCUGAACGAGCAACGCCGCGUGAGGGAAGAAAGUCUUCGGAUCGUAAAGCUCUGUUGUAUGAGAAGAAAGAGUGUGAGAGUGGAAACUUCCCACUGUGACGGUAUCUAACGAGAAAGCAACGGCUAACUACGUG